This 433-nucleotide ribosomal RNA is filed under the name uncultured bacterium. Its description in RNAcentral is "partial 16S ribosomal RNA". It matches the Rfam family "Bacterial small subunit ribosomal RNA", at positions 29 to 507 of the family's 1533-position model. The record is from RNAcentral.
AGCGAACGCUGGCGGCAGCCCUAACACAUGCAAGUCGAACGAACUCUUCGGAGUUAGUGGCGGACGGGUGAGUAACACGUGGGAACGUGCCUUUUGGUUCGGAAUAACUCAGGGAAACUUGUGCUAAUACCGAAUGUGCCCUUCGGGGGAAAGAUUUAUCGCCAUUAGAGCGGCCCGCGUCUGAUUAGCUAGUUGGUGAGGUAACGGCUCACCAAGGCGACGAUCAGUAGCUGGUCUGAGAGGAUGACCAGCCACACUGGGACUGAGACACGGCCCAGACUCCUACGGGAGGCAGCAGUGGGGAAUCUUGCGCAAUGGGCGAAAGCCUGACGCAGCCAUGCCGCGUGAAUGAUGAAGGUCUUAGGAUUGUAAAAUUCUUUCACCGGGGACGAUAAUGACGGUACCCGGAGAAGAAGCCCCGGCUAACUUCGUG